RNAcentral lists this long non-coding RNA (234 nucleotides) under Capsicum annuum. RNAcentral's name for it is "long non-coding RNA (CANN_LNC001220)". The record is from RNAcentral. Lineage: Eukaryota; Viridiplantae; Streptophyta; Magnoliopsida; Solanales; Solanaceae.
UUGAGAGAGAAUUGAUGAAAUAAGCAUAAAGUGCUUUGGAAUAUGCUUAAUUCUUUAUUUAAGACGGAUUGAGGCCUUGGGGAUUGACCACAAUACCUUUUUUAAUAUUUAAACGGAACUGAAAAAACAACAUUUUUCGAACUGAGUGGCCACCGCGACGUGCCACUAUCGCGGUGGCUCACUGAAAAUUGACAAAUAGGAACUGGGUUUCCUCCGCGACGUGCCACCAUCGUG